GUGGCCAGCAGAGGGACAGAGCAGCCUUCCAAGGAGACCAAGAAAGAUCUGAACUUUCAUGAGGCCCAGCUUGGAGGCCGUGCCCUACCCUCCCCCACUCCCCCCAGGGCACUGAUAACCCCGACCUCUCCCACUGCAAAUCUCCUCUCCUAGCCUGUCCUCUCCCCUUCUCUCGCAGCUGCAGCUGCCGCCAGCCUCUCCCUCUCCUCCCUCCACCCCUCACCAUCCCCAGGGAGCAGUGAGCUCAGCCUUUCCCAUCAGCCAUCCCUGGGAAUGAUGGGAAAUGCGAGGCAGGCCAGGAACCAGCAGAGGCCUGCCCCAGAGAGGGAGGAGGAGAACACGGGCUUUUCUGAGGGCCACUGGGGGCGUCUUGGGGGCAGGGCUCCAUUCCGCUGCUUGCAAUGAAGCCCAGGCUGCCGUAAGAGCACAGUCUGCCUGUCCUUACCACUGGCUCUAAAUAAGGUGGGAUCCAACUGCUGGAGCUGGGAUGGGCCUCUUUUUCUGGAUGGGAAGACAGAGGUCCAGAGAGAGGAGGGAAAGGAAGUAUGUCUGGGAGCUGACUGCCACAUCCCAGGCACUGUUGGAGCCUUUCACGUCCUUUGUCUCAUUGGAUCCUUACCACUACCCUGCAAGUUAAAGAAAGGACUCCUCUAAGGGAUCAAGCCUGGGCUAGAGGGGUUCCUGAUCAAAACCUGAGCUCUCCACUUCCACACUGACGGAGGCAAGAGGAGCCACUGGGCGCUGAGCACUCUUCCUGCAGGCGACACUGUGCUGGGCUUCUGUGCAAUGACUUCUACCUCUGCACAGCCACCUGAGGGGACCAGGAGACCCAUCCUGCUGAAGGGGAAGCUGAGGUACUAAGUUAUUGGGCGACUGUUUAUGCAGCAGAAGACAAAUGCAACAACUCAUUGAAAUUUACCUGGCAGGAACUUCCCCUCCCCCAAGAAGCUGCACCUUAGCCAAAAGAAAGGUGCUCAGAGUAUAGCAGGCAGCUGCCGAGCCUGGGACGUUUGCAACUUCCAGGAUUCUGCCUUCGGAGAGCCAUCGGAGAGCUUCAAAGCUAAUCAUCUCAGCAUUAUUUACAAUAGCAAAAAAAAAAAAACAAAA
Neofelis nebulosa (Clouded leopard) is the source of this 1107-nucleotide long non-coding RNA. RefSeq lists it as uncharacterized. The transcript has 3 exons. NCBI's taxonomy places the organism in Eukaryota, Metazoa, Chordata, Mammalia, Carnivora, Felidae. The record is from RefSeq and is a predicted model, not a curated record.